RNAcentral lists this long non-coding RNA (1092 nucleotides) under Heterocephalus glaber (naked mole-rat). Its description in RNAcentral is "lncRNA (ENSHGLG00100040472.1)". Lineage: Eukaryota; Metazoa; Chordata; Mammalia; Rodentia; Bathyergidae. The record is from RNAcentral.
CUCACAGGGCACGAAAAGCCAAUUGGAGAGGGAGCAGAAUCCUAUCAAUAUCAAAGCAAGGGACCCCACCCACCCAACAAAAAGACCUCAUACCUGUAUUUGAUAAGAAGGGAGAGGAAAGGAGCAAGGUGAAAGAACUUUGGCCUAGAAAUCCUAUGAAAUAGCCUUAAGACUCCCCUCUAGGUCACAUCUUGAUGUUGGCCAAGCCAUGUCCCUUCUCUGGGCCUGACUAGGCCAUCACCAGUGAGGGUACCGGUGACAUCUGGGGAAUUUGACCCUAGAUCUUUAUGAUGACAUAGAUAAGUUUUCUCCCUCUACCUCGUUCACCAUGGCAUCAAAACAGUGAACCAUUCCAAGCUAGUGUUUCUGAAAAUAUGACCUUCAAAAUUGAGAAUGUCUCAAGAGUCAGGCAUUUUGUGCAAACAGAAAAGGAAGGUGAAGUACCAUAGUAAAGAUUAGCUUUGCUCCACGUGAGGCAGAAAACUGUGUUUCUAGUCAGCUGAUGGGAGUCAGGAGAAAGGGGAGAAGAAAGACUGGCUGCAGGAAGAAAGGGAGGAGAAGAGAAGUAAAUAAAAGAGGGAAGAGAGGGAUGGAGGCAGAAGAGGGACAGUGGCUUGGAGUGAGGAGAAGUGAAGUGGUUCACUAGAAGAGAACCAAAAAGACAGAGGAAAGAGGGAAGUGAAAAUGGCCUCGCCCUCAGCUUCUGCUUCUGGGGCCCUCUGCCUCCAGCCUCCCCGCUCACCCAGCUCUACUCUGGGCCAAGAGCAGCUGGGGUCCCUCCUUCCAUGGUGCCAGGUGAGGGACAGUGCUCUGCAGGCACCUGGGGGCAGUUUGGAGCCUAAUCCUGGCUGGGAUCCUGGGACUGUGGCACGGGGACCCUCCUGCUCCUUGAACACCAUUCGGGCCUAGCCUCCACUCCAGACACUUUCCAUGCAACUUGACCAGAACAAAUCCACACCUGUCACCCACCACCAGGAGCUUCCACCCUUCGAUUCCCCUCCUGGGAACUUCACAUAGGCCUGAUAUGCUUUCUCUGCACCAAAGCCUCCUCUUAGGUGGCUCAGUUAGCACCAGGACUCAGCUGUGCCGCUC